GGGCCUAUAGCUCAGCGGUCAGAGCAGGGGACUCAUAAUCCCUUGGUCGCAGGUUCAAAUCCUGCUGGGCCCA
This 73-nucleotide transfer RNA is filed under the name Bacteroidota bacterium. RNAcentral's name for it is "Bacteroidetes bacterium (activated sludge metagenome) tRNA-Ile". It matches the Rfam family "tRNA". Rfam says of the family: Transfer RNA (tRNA) molecules are approximately 80 nucleotides in length. Their secondary structure includes four short double-helical elements and three loops (D, anti-codon, and T loops). The record is from RNAcentral. RNAcentral also lists the same sequence under 3 other names. Lineage: Bacteria; Pseudomonadati; Bacteroidota.